UGAACGCUGGCGGCGUGCUUAACACAUGCAAGUCGUACGAGAACUCUUCUGCUUGCAGAAGAUAGUAAAGUGGCGCACGGGUGAGUAACGCGUGGGUAAUCUACCUUCGAAUCGGGGAUAACCCGCCGAAAGGCGAGCUAAUACCGGAUAAUAUCUUUAAAACUUAGGUUUUUAAGAUCAAAGGUGGUCUCUACAUGUAAGCUACUGUUUGGAGAUGAGCCCGCGUACCAUUAGCUUGUUGGUAGGGUAAUGGCCUACCAAGGCCGCGAUGGUUAGCUGGUCUGAGAGGAUGAUCAGCCACACUGGAACUGACACACGGUCCAGACUCCUACGGGAGGCAGCAGUGAGGAAUUUUGCGCAAUGGGGGAAACCCUGACGCAGCAACGCCGCGUGAGUGAUGAAGGCUUUCGGGUCGUAAAGCUCUGUCAAGUGGGAAGAACCUGCUCGAUGCUAAUACCAUCUAGCACUGACGGUACCACUAAAGGAAGCACCGGCUAACUCC
RNAcentral lists this ribosomal RNA (502 nucleotides) under uncultured bacterium. RNAcentral's name for it is "bacterial SSU rRNA". It matches the Rfam family "Bacterial small subunit ribosomal RNA", at positions 30 to 504 of the family's 1533-position model. The record is from RNAcentral.